GGCGACGUAGCCAAGUGGUAAGGCAGAGGCCUGCAAAGCCUCUAUUCCCUAGUUCGAAUCUAGGUGUCGCCU
Molecule: transfer RNA, 72 nt
Filed under: Anaerosporomusa subterranea
Lineage: Bacteria; Bacillati; Bacillota; Negativicutes; Acetonemataceae
Rfam family: tRNA
About the family: Transfer RNA (tRNA) molecules are approximately 80 nucleotides in length.
Source: Rfam by way of RNAcentral